RNAcentral lists this transfer RNA (78 nucleotides) under Candidatus Omnitrophota bacterium. RNAcentral's name for it is "Candidatus Omnitrophica bacterium tRNA-Glu". It matches the Rfam family "tRNA". Rfam says of the family: Transfer RNA (tRNA) molecules are approximately 80 nucleotides in length. Lineage: Bacteria; Pseudomonadati; Candidatus Omnitrophota. The record is from RNAcentral.
GUCCCCAUCGUCUAGCUCGGCCUAGGACACCAGAUUUUCAUUCUGGCGACCGGGGUUCGAAUCCCCGUGGGGACGCCA